RNAcentral lists this long non-coding RNA (1495 nucleotides) under Rattus norvegicus (Norway rat). RNAcentral's name for it is "long non-coding RNA NONRATT023037". The record is from RNAcentral. Lineage: Eukaryota; Metazoa; Chordata; Mammalia; Rodentia; Muridae.
AAGAAGAAGAAGAAGAAGAAGAAGAAGAAGAAGAAGAAGAAGAACCAACAAUUGAAAUCUUUACAUCUUCCAGGCUAGCACUAUGAGAUCCAUGUUCAGCCAUGGCUAUGGGAAUGUCUUAGUUUAUAGCUAAUGUGAUAUAAAUGCUUUCAUGGGUGGGCAGUUAAAUGGUAUUCCUGGUGCUACUUUGGUAGAACAGUGCUUGGGAUAACAUAGGGGUCUAUGUCUCCAUUCCUACAGAACUGACCUGGACUUGUAUUUUCAUGUUUCAUCCUUCCUAUAGUCUCCACCCAUCUUAUUCUGAAACAUAAAAGUGGAAAAUGUAACAACAAAAUUAAUAUAAUUAACUUCCAGAGUGAUAUCUAGUUGUCAUAAGAAUUUUAUAAAGUUGGGGGUUGGGGAUUUAGCUCAGUGGUAGAGUGCUUGCCUAGCAAGCGCAAGGCUCUGGGUUCGGUCCCCAGCUCUGAAAAAAAAGAAAAAAGAAAAAAAAAGAAUUUUAUAAAGCAACCAAAUUUAUUUUCUGAGUUUUUUUGACCAUUUAAGAUUAGUAUUCAUGGUGAGUUUUAUAGAGGAAUUUUAAUCCAGCAACAUGGCUGCUCUGGAAAGAGAUCACAUCCAGGGGCUUUCUAGGUCUGUGUGACCCAGCCAGAAUGACAUACCUAUAAUCCCUACAGAUAUACCCUUAGUGCACACCUUUAAUCCUUAACAAUGUAGUUAAUGUUAGUUUGCAGAAGGAAGAAGCUGAAAGUGAUCUCCAAUUGAAGGAUAGACAAAGUUACAAGUCAGAGGAAGAUUUGACAAAAUAAGUCAGGGAUAGGACAUGCCCUAUCAGGGGUGAGGGCAGUUCAGUGAGUACAGUUCAGUUGAGUUCAGGCAAACAGUGUUGUUUAGUUGAGUGAAGUUUGGAGCAGUUCAGUUGAAUGCAGUUGAGUUCAGUUUCAUUCAGUUCCUGUGCAGUCAAUACAGUUUAGUUUGUGGAAUUCAAGAGGCAAUUUUUCCAAGCAGAGCAAUUCAGUGAGAAGCUGAGAGAAUCCCAUUUGAAUUAAUCACCUUGGAGAGCCAUUUGAGUCAGAACAGCUGAGUUGAAUCAGCCAGCCAGAGUUCAGAAAGAACUAGAAAGGGUGAUUUUUAUUCAGCAGUAAGCCUUUGAGAUGACACAUUUGGCAAAUAAAAGGCACUUUUACAGAGGCUUAAUAGUCUGAAUAUUUUUCCUAUCUUUUUGGGCUCCUGUUUUUGAGAGACGUUUUCACCAUGUAGCUCUUUCAGUCUUACACAUCUUUGUGUAGACCAGACUGGAAUUAGUCUCACAGAGAUCUGCCUGACUCUGCUAGAGUUGGUAUGUGCUACUAAGCCCAACCGAUAUUUCUACGCAUUAAAAACCCCUUCACAUGCUAAUUGCAACUGAUUCAGAAUAGAAACAUCAAUGUGUGUUUGUAUGAAUGGAUUUGAAAGUCUAAUUUGUCCAUCAAUAAAACUAUUAAUAACUAUUCUCAAA